This 755-nucleotide long non-coding RNA is filed under the name Callithrix jacchus (white-tufted-ear marmoset). RNAcentral's name for it is "lncRNA (ENSCJAG00000085879.1)". The record is from RNAcentral. Lineage: Eukaryota; Metazoa; Chordata; Mammalia; Primates; Cebidae.
GCCUUCUUGGGAUUAGUAUUUUUGCCAUUAUUUUUUACAAUGUGGCAUAUUUAAAACAGGAAUAGUCAGACACUUUAUAAUGCUACUUUAUAAAGCCACUGACACCCUCACAAGUCCUACCUCUUCACUAGCCAGAACUCUCACCUUUUGUAACCUACAAGAACUGACAGUGAGUUUGCCAAGCUCCCAGAAUGCAGCAAGUCCUGCCCAACCAGCCUGUCAGAGAGUGAGGUGAUUUAUAAGCCAGAGUAUGAGGGAACCAAAUGUCAAAACAUAAGGGAAAGCCUCUGAGGAGGACAGCUAAAAAUAACUUUCCUUCACUAUUCCAUGAUACUCUGGGCGCAGGCUUAGCAAAUAGCCUGUUGCCUCGUUCCUGUAGAAGCCCACUCCAUAGUCACAGUAGGCACUGACAAUCCAACAGGACAUUCCUUCUCCCGGGACCUGAGCUGGGGGUCAUCAUCCUUCUCAUCACAACCAAACACUUCAGGAGUGAAAUAUGAAGCCUGGUCUCCAGCUGAGAAUGAGGAUGGAGUAGGAGAAGCUGGUGGUUUUUUGAGGGACAAGAAGGUGACAUAUGGUGGUCAUUCGGACACUACAGUCUUCUGUUUCACCUUUAUAUUACUGUCUGCUUUCUCCAACAGCCAGACUUUCUGCGCUAUAGGUAAGCAUAAAUGCUUCCUCGUUUUCUUAUCACUGUUAACCACAGGGGUAUCUACAGGCUUUUUUCAACAUUUUAAGCAUUAUCAAUAUUUAAG